RNAcentral lists this small RNA (553 nucleotides) under Pongo abelii (Sumatran orangutan). RNAcentral describes it as "processed transcript". The record is from RNAcentral. Lineage: Eukaryota; Metazoa; Chordata; Mammalia; Primates; Hominidae.
GACUUCAUUGACUUAACUAGAGAGACCAGACCAAGGACAAAAGAUCGCAGUGGACUGUGUGUGAUUGACCUGACAAGAGCUGAGGGAGAAAACAGACCUAUUGCCACUCUUGACUUAACUUUAGAACCUGUCACUCCUUCCCAGAAGGAGCCAACCAGUCUUCAGACAUGUGCCAGCCUCUCUGGCAAAGCGGUGAUGGAAGGGCAGGUGGACAGAAGCUCUCAGCCUACAGCACGGAGAAUCAUUAACAGUGAUCCUGUAGAUUUGGACCUAGUGGAAGAAAACACCUUUGUAGGUCCCCCACCCACUACAUCCAUCAGUGGAGGCUCUGUUUAUCCAACAGAGCCUAAUUGUAGCUCAGCCACAUUCACAGGUAACCUCAGCUUCUUGGCAAGCCUACAGCUGUCUUCAGAUGUUAGCUCCCUCUCCCCAACAAGCAAUAAUAGUAGCAGCAGCAGCAGCAGCAAUCAAAAAGCACCCUUGCCAUGCCCACAGCAAGAUGUGUCUCGCCCACCACAAGCCUUGCCGUGCCCCCUGCGAGCUUUGCCAUGCC